This is a long non-coding RNA of Homo sapiens (human), 2598 nucleotides long. Ensembl annotates it as prostate cancer associated transcript 18. Its record names the gene PCAT18. NCBI's taxonomy places the organism in Eukaryota, Metazoa, Chordata, Mammalia, Primates, Hominidae. The record is from Ensembl.
CUUUUUCUUCGUAACUUCAUGGCAACAUGACCUACAGUUACUCAUUUUUCAGGCCUGAGUUGAUCGUUAAUCAUCUUAAUUAUGUUCAUUCUGAAGCCAACAGGAGAACCAAGACCAAAACUUUAUUGUCUCUGCUUUCAUUUCUUGAUGAAACCUCUGGACUAAGCACACAUCUUCCUUGUUUAUCUCUCUCAAAGGAGUGUGGAGUGCUUCAUCUGGACAUCCACGGGAAGAAGGAAGACAUGAGGGAAUGCUGGAAGAGGAGACAGGCCCCAGAUUUGGGCAGGAAGUAAACAGUUUUCAGGCUGAGGCCAAUCUGAGCAGGAACAUUCCAAUAUUUCUUCAGCUACGUUGUCCCAGCACUUCACUGGUUAACCUUUUAUGUCCACCAUUUGUGGAUUUCACAGCUACUUGUCAAUGGUGAAUAUUGAUCAUCAUCAUUAUCUACUGAGCUGCUACCAUAUCCCAGCUACUCCUUGCAUGUUGUUCAUUAUUUUCUCAACACUCAGCAUAUUUGCAAUAUGUUAUGUAAUAUCACAGACAAGGAAACUGAACGCAGAAAUGUUUUAUUUCUUGCCAAACAUCACAUGAGGAUGAACAAUGAAACCGAUUUGAAACCAGGAUUGUCUGAUUCCAACAUCUCUGGGUCCUUUUUCACUCUGAUAUGCUGCAAUUAAAAAGCCAUUUCUAAGACUGUACGUUCCAAGAUUGUUUCUAUAGUUGGUUGUGAGAGAAGUUUCUCUGAACUUGCAGAGCACGGGAAACCAGGAGGAGGAGGCUCAGGGUGCUCUCCACACGUGUGAAACCGGCUGUGGGUGUUGCUUUCCUGUGACUGCCAUUUGCCACUGAUGAUCUUCUCUUCCUCUGGAAGAGUAAGAGGGGGAAGGACACAGUUUCAGUGCUUCCCAUUUAUAAUUAAUUAAUUAAUUAAGGGCAGGUGCAGGGGCUCACACUUGUAACCCCAGCACUUUAGGAGAUUGAGCAAGGAGGAUCCCCUGAGCCUGGGAGUUUGAGAUCAGCCUGGGAAGCAGAGUGAGACCAUGACUUAAAUAAAAAUUUUUUUGUGUUUUGUUCUAAUUUUUACUUUUUUGAGACAGGGUCUCGCUCUGUUGCCCAGGCUGGAGUGCAGUAGCGUGAUCUCAGCUCACUGCAACCUCUGCCUCUGGGUUCAAACAAUUCUCAUGCCUCAGCCUCCCAAGUAGCUGGGAUUACAGGUGCCUGCCACCAUGCCCAACUAAUUUUUUUGUACUUUUAGUAGAGACGGGUUUUCACCAUGUUGGUUGGCCAGGCUGGUCUCGAACUCCUGACCUCAAGUGAUCCGCCCACCUCAGCCUCCCAAAGUGCUGGGAUUACAGGCAUGAGCCACCACGCCCGACCAAAAAAAAAUUUUUUUUUUUCAAUUAGCCAGACAUUGUGGCAUGUGCCUGUAGUCGCAGCUACCAUGGGGGCUGAGGUGGGAGGAUAGCUUGAGCCCAGGAGUUUGAAACCAGCCUGGGCAGCAAAGUGAGACCCUGCCUCAAAAAUAAAAAAUAAAAAAAAAGCUAUUUCUUACAGAUAUUCAUUGAGUGGAAAGCAAUUUAAUUUUACGUAUAAUAAGUUAUUUCAAAAAGAAUUGUAGUUAUGUGUGGCAAUUUUUCAUAAAUACCUGAUACAAAUCAAGAUCUACCAUGGUAAGUGUGCUCCAGAGAUACCCUUCUUGACCAAAACAAAGCAGGGCAGGGAUUGGGAGGCCUUUUGGGCUGGGCUCCAGGACACAAUGACUAGAAGAUGAUGCAAAGUGCAUGACAGAGUAGAGAGCUACACAGUUUACACAUAUUAGACUCUGCACAUAUUAGAGUCUACACAUAUUAGACUCUGCAAAAGUAGUUCUUAAAUGUUAGCUCACAUGCACCCCAGUCACGUUACUGAGCAGAUUCCUGGGCUCCAGUCCUGGGUGAUUCUUGCAGGUGGUCCAUUGACCAGAUUAGGAGAAUCAUCAUCCAAGGUCUCAAAGCCAAAUUUAGGACGCAGAGAGAAAGAAUCCUAAGUGGUUGAAUGGGAAACUGAUUCUCCUCUUGAGCACACCUUAGAUUCAAAUAAUUGAUUGGAGAAGAUCAUUCCAUACAAAAAUCUUCUGACCUGCAGAGUUUCUACAAAAAGUCUUGAGAAAGAAAAAGAAAAACAUAUAUUUUUGGAAAAGAUUGAAUUUAAUUAUAAUUUUGCAAAUUAUACUGUGGGAAAGGUCAACAAAAACAAGCGUAUUGCGGAUGAUCUUAUAAAAAGAACCUUUUGUAAAGUAAACAAUUACCUUCUGAUUUGUCUACUCUGAACCCUUGAUGUUUAUUUAAAUUGGAUGUUCUCAUAGCAGGACACACCUGAUACCUGGCUUGUCUAAACACUUAGAAAGUCAAAUUGUCUAGUUAUCAAAGCCCAGGCUUAUUUUCUAAAUAAGUAUGGAUGGUCUUUCAGGAGUCAUUUCACAGUGAUGUGCAGAGAGAAAAACAAUACAAACAAACAAACAAACAAACAAAAAACAAAUCAUUGUUCCUAAGUGUGUUUUCCAGCCUAUGUCUAACUUUCUAGCAGAUAAUGGCAAUAAAAAUGUUUGGGUCCAACAUU